CUCUAAUGUUAAUGUUGUCCUCUAUUAUGAGACUGAUAGAACCGGAAAUUGAUUAUUUUCACACAGCUGUAUGGUUUAUCAUGUGUCCUUCUUUAUAUAAUGUGUAAAUAUAAUGUAAAUAUCAGGUAUAAUUAUUGCUUGUCCUGGUCAUUAUUGUCUGUUUCUGGUAACAUGAUUUUUUCCUUUUUCCUUUUAAAAGCCAACUGAACCAAUGCCAGGUGUAGUAGAGAUCAGAAAAGAAGAUCGCAGAGAAUAUGUGAGGAAAAUGAAAGGUUCCAAACAGGCACUGCAGCAGACCCCUCCAGAGUGAUGUUCAAGCUUUACUGAGGAGUUUUAUGAAGUUCAUUAUCCAUCACACAGGAUGAAAUUUCAGUGUAAACUCCAGAAAUUCACCAGAAGCGCUAAAUAAACACAUACAGAAAUGUA
This is a long non-coding RNA of Silurus meridionalis, 426 nucleotides long. RefSeq lists it as uncharacterized. The transcript is spliced from 2 exons. NCBI's taxonomy places the organism in Eukaryota, Metazoa, Chordata, Actinopteri, Siluriformes, Siluridae. The record is from RefSeq and is a predicted model, not a curated record.